AUACGUAGGGAGCGAGCGUUGUCCGGAAUUACUGGGCGUAAAGGGUGCGUAGGCGGCAUGGCAAGUCAGAUGUGAAAUCCCCGGGCUUAACUCGGGUGGUGCAUUUGAAACUGCCAAGCUUGAGUGCAGGAGAGGAAAGCGGAAUUCCUAGUGUAGCGGUGAAAUGCGUAGAUAUUAGGAGGAACACCAGUGGCGAAGGCGGCUUUCUGGACUGUAACUGACGCUGAGGCACGAAAGCGUGGGGAGC
RNAcentral lists this ribosomal RNA (247 nucleotides) under uncultured bacterium. RNAcentral's name for it is "partial 16S ribosomal RNA". It matches the Rfam family "Bacterial small subunit ribosomal RNA", at positions 523 to 769 of the family's 1533-position model. The record is from RNAcentral.